UGGGGAAUAUUGCACAAUGGGCGCAAGCCUGAUGCAGCCAUGCCGCGUGUGUGAAGAAGGCCUUCGGGUUGUAAAGCACUUUCAGCGGGGAGGAAGGCGUUAAGGUUAAUAACCUUGGCGAUUGACGUUACCCGCAGAAGAAGCACCGGCUAACUCCGUGCCAGCAGCCGCGGUAAUACGGAGGGUGCAAGCGUUAAUCGGAAUUACUGGGCGUAAAGCGCACGCAGGCGGUCUGUCAAGUCGGAUGUGAAAGCCCCGGGCUCAACCUGGGAACUGCAUUCGAAAUUGUCAGGCUAGAGCCUUGUAGAGGGGGGUAGAAUUCCAGGUUUAGCGGUGAAAUCCGUAGAGAUCUGGAGGAUUCCCGGUGGCGAAGGCGGCCCCCUGGACAAAGACUGACGCUCAGGUGCGAAAGCGUGGGGAGCAAACAGG
RNAcentral lists this ribosomal RNA (429 nucleotides) under Chloroflexota bacterium. RNAcentral describes it as "Chloroflexi bacterium partial 16S ribosomal RNA". It matches the Rfam family "Bacterial small subunit ribosomal RNA", at positions 355 to 776 of the family's 1533-position model. The record is from RNAcentral. Lineage: Bacteria; Bacillati; Chloroflexota.